Molecule: unclassified non-coding RNA, 362 nt
Filed under: Hevea brasiliensis (rubber tree)
Lineage: Eukaryota; Viridiplantae; Streptophyta; Magnoliopsida; Malpighiales; Euphorbiaceae
Source: RNAcentral
AGCAAAAGUCGCACACCAAUAUACACUUGGGCUUUGGUAGAUUUUUUUCUACCAUCUCACAAUUUUUCUUCCCCUUCAGCCCAAUGUCGCCGGCGACUUUCUGACCUGCUCGAUAACCUCCGUCUCUCUCUCCGUUCGAAACAGAUUUCUAGGGUUUUGGAUUGUUGAUUCAAAUUUAUACAUAUCGGAAUAAGACGAUGGCAGCUCCACCAGCUAGGGCUCGAGCAGAUUAUGAUUAUCUCAUCAAGCUUCUCCUCAUUGGCGAUAGCGGUGUGGGAAAGAGUUGUUUACUUCUGAGAUUCUCAGACGGUUCCUUCACAACAAGUUUCAUCACAACUAUUGGAAUUGAUUUUAAGAUAAGA